Molecule: ribosomal RNA, 361 nt
Filed under: uncultured bacterium
Lineage: Bacteria
Description: bacterial SSU rRNA
Rfam family: Bacterial small subunit ribosomal RNA
Source: RNAcentral
AGAGUUUGAUCAUGGCUCAGGAUGAACGCUAGCUACAGGCUUAACACAUGCAAGUCGAGGGGAAACGACAUACGAAAGCUUGUCUUUUGAUGGUCGUCGACCGGCGCGACGGGUGAGUAACGCGUAUCCAACCUCGCCCAUCACGUUGGGGAUAACCUUGCGAAAGUAAGACUAAUACCCAAUGAUAUCUCUAGAAGACAUCUGAAAGAGAUUAAAGAUUUAUCGGUGAUGGAUGGGGAUGCGUCUGAUUAGCUUGUUGGCGGGGUAACGGCCCACCAAGGCAACGAUCAGUAGGGGUUCUGAGAGGAAGGUCCCCCACAUUGGAACUGAGACACGGUCCAAACUCCUACGGGAGGCAGCA